AAAAACUCAUCAAUUUCAAUCCCCUUUCAGAUUUUCACACCCAUCAACCCAAUUCACCAAUUUCGCCCAUAAACACACCCGAAGAUGAUUAAAGUUCCGAUUUUGGCCCUUCUGAUCUGCCUCCUGUUCGCUUUGUCAAAUGGGUAUGGAGGAACCAAGGUCGGUGGCAGGCAGCAGAUCGAAGACGUGAAGACGAACAAGGAGGUUCAGAAGUUGGGGAGGUUUUCGGUGGCGGAGUACAACCGGACGCAGCGGAAGAGCUACCAGAGCAACGGCGGCGGAGAGCUUCAGUUCUUGGAGGUGGUGGAGGCGCAGAGCCAGGUGGUUUCUGGGAUCAAAUACUAUCUCAAGGUCUCCGCCGUCAGGAAUGGGGCUCACAUGCUGUUUGAUUCGGAAGUGGUCGUGAAGCCAUGGCUUCAUUCCAAGCAAUUGCUCAACUUUGCCCCUCAUGGUCCUAAUUAAUUUAAUUUCAUGCUUGAAUGAAUUGGGGUUUUGUUGUACCAAAUUAAUGAUCUUGGUGUAAUCGGAUGUUUAAUUAUCUUUUUCCUUUCUGGGUUUUGUUUUGUUGUUUGUGUUGUGUGAUUUCGACUCUUUCUAUGCUCUUGUGGGUAUAAAUUACAAUAAUUAGUCAUCUGU
Molecule: long non-coding RNA, 636 nt
Filed under: Prunus dulcis (almond)
Lineage: Eukaryota; Viridiplantae; Streptophyta; Magnoliopsida; Rosales; Rosaceae
Description: sRNA ncRNA
Source: RNAcentral